RNAcentral lists this ribosomal RNA (460 nucleotides) under uncultured bacterium. RNAcentral's name for it is "partial 16S ribosomal RNA". It matches the Rfam family "Bacterial small subunit ribosomal RNA", at positions 338 to 795 of the family's 1533-position model. The record is from RNAcentral.
CCUACGGGAGGCAGCAGUGAGGAAUAUUGGUCAAUGGACGCGAGUCUGAACCAGCCAAGUAGCGUGAAGGAUGACUGCCCUAUGGGUUUUAACCUUCUUUUAUAUGGGAGUAAAAUGUUCCACGUGUGGGAUUUUGUAUGUACCAUAUGAAUAAGGAUCGGCUAACUCCGUUCCAUCAGCCGCGGUAAUACGGAGGAUCCGAGCGUUAUCCGGAUUUAAUGGGUUUAAAGGGAGCGUAGGUGGAUUGUUAAGUCAGUUGUGAAAGUUUGCGGCUCAACCGUAAAAUUGCAGUUGAAACUGGCAGUCUUGAGUACAGUAGAGGUGGGCGGAAUUCGUGGUGUAGCGGUGAAAUGCUUAGAUAUCACGAAGAACUCCGAUUGCGAAGGCAGCUUACUGGACUGCAACUGACACUGAGGCUCGAAAGUGUGGGUAUCAAACAGGAUUAGAUACCCCAGUAGUC